GCCCAGGUGGUGGAAUUGGUAGACACGAGGGACUUAAAAUCCCUUGGCCGCAAGGCUGUGCGAGUUCGAUUCUCGCCCUGGGCACAA
The sequence is a transfer RNA, 87 nucleotides long. It matches the Rfam family "tRNA". Rfam says of the family: Transfer RNA (tRNA) molecules are approximately 80 nucleotides in length. Their secondary structure includes four short double-helical elements and three loops (D, anti-codon, and T loops). Further hydrogen bonds mediate the characteristic L-shaped molecular structure. tRNAs have two regions of fundamental functional importance: the anti-codon, which is responsible for specific mRNA codon recognition, and the 3' end, to which the tRNAs corresponding amino acid is attached (by aminoacyl-tRNA synthetases). tRNAs cope with the degeneracy of the genetic code in two manners: having more than one tRNA (with a specific anti-codon) for a particular amino acid; and 'wobble' base-pairing, i.e. permitting non-standard base-pairing at the 3rd anti-codon position.